CAGCACCUCAAGUGGUCAGGAUGAUUAUUGGGCCUAAAGCAUCCGUAGCCUGCUUUGUUAGUUUUCGGUUAAAUCCAUACGCUCAACGUAUGGGCUGCCGGGAAUACUGCAAAGCUAGGAAGUGGGAGAGGUAGACGGUACUCGGUAGGAAGGGGUAAAAUCCUUUGAUCUAUUGAUGACCACCUGUGGCGAAGGCGGUCUACCAGAACACGUCCGACGGUGAGGGAUGAAAGCUGGGGGAGCAAACCGGAUUAGAUACCCGAGUAGUCC
RNAcentral lists this ribosomal RNA (270 nucleotides) under uncultured archaeon. RNAcentral describes it as "partial 16S ribosomal RNA". It matches the Rfam family "Archaeal small subunit ribosomal RNA", at positions 477 to 747 of the family's 1478-position model. The record is from RNAcentral.